Molecule: ribosomal RNA, 253 nt
Filed under: uncultured bacterium
Lineage: Bacteria
Description: partial 16S ribosomal RNA
Rfam family: Bacterial small subunit ribosomal RNA
Source: RNAcentral
UACGUAGGUUGCUAGCGUUGUCCGGAUUUAUUGGGCGUAAAGAGCGUGUAGGCGGCCAUGUAGGUCCGGUGUGAAAACUCGAGGCUUAACCUCGAGAUGUCAUCGGAAACCAUUUGGCUAGAGUCCGGAAGAGGAGAGUGGAAUUCCUGGUGUAGCGGUGAAAUGCGCAGAUAUCAGGAAGAACACCAAUGGCGAAAGCAGCUCUCUGGGACGGUACUGACGCUGAGACGCGAAAGCGUGGGGAGCGAACAGG